Molecule: ribosomal RNA, 247 nt
Filed under: Heterospilus sp. MAS-2010
Lineage: Eukaryota; Metazoa; Arthropoda; Insecta; Hymenoptera; Braconidae
Description: partial 28S ribosomal RNA
Source: RNAcentral
GUAUAUGUAUGANGUUAUGAUGCGAGUUACUCUNUGUAGUAUUGCUUGCACAUACUUUUACAUUUAUUUGCAAGAUGUUGUCGGCGUGCACUUCUCCCCUAGUAGAACGUCGCGACCCGUUGGGUGUCGGUCUACGACCCGAGUGGUAGACUUUAAUAUUUUNAUAAUAUUAAAGACCCUUGGUGUUUUCUGACCGGCUGCCCGGCGGUACUCGUACGGUAUUUAGCCGCAAUUUAUUUNGCGUCCA